UUCAACAGAGUACCCAUACAGAAGACCUAUUUUGGGUAUCAAGAGAGGCAUAACCCAAAUUUGGGUAUCCUCUCUCCUUGAGACCUAUUUGCAGAGAGUGUUGUCUUUUAGGUCUUGUUGUUGGAGAAGACUAAAAAUAGGUAUGGAACCUUUUACCUGUAGCGCUACCCAAAGGACAAAUGGGUAUUGUAUUUUGGGUAACAAUUGUUGGAGAUAGUCU
This 220-nucleotide long non-coding RNA is filed under the name Sorghum bicolor (sorghum). Its description in RNAcentral is "long non-coding RNA (SBIC_LNC018225)". The record is from RNAcentral. Lineage: Eukaryota; Viridiplantae; Streptophyta; Magnoliopsida; Poales; Poaceae.